RNAcentral lists this long non-coding RNA (746 nucleotides) under Salvia miltiorrhiza (redroot sage). Its description in RNAcentral is "long non-coding RNA (SMIL_LNC006485)". Lineage: Eukaryota; Viridiplantae; Streptophyta; Magnoliopsida; Lamiales; Lamiaceae. The record is from RNAcentral.
GCCAACUUACAUAUAUUAUAGAUUGUUAUUUUGGGCUACUGAAGCAAAGGUAGAAAACAAUACACCUCUUUUGUCACCUCUAUAGUCUUGUAAUCACAUUUAUCAAAAACAUGGCUACAAUGUAGCGAUCCACUAAUUUACAGAACCUAAAAUUUCACUGGAACUUCAGAGCAUAAAUCAUGAUUAUAGUUUGGGGGUGAGUUCAUUCUGAGCAAUCAUGUUAAACUAGAGAACUAGAGAAGAACUAGAGAAGAUGCAGAGAUAGACGGGCCGUUAAACUAAAGUGCACGAUCAGAUUCAGAAAUCCAGCAACUAAAGGCAAAUGCAGGAAAAUAGAAGCAAUACCUCGGCUACGAGCAGAUCUGCGGCCGGCAGGGUGCAGGCGGUGCGGCGACGCUGUGCAAGCUCUGGAGCAGGCGGCGAGCAGAUCUGCGGCCGGAAGGGUGGGGAGGCGCGGUGCAGAUGCAGGCUCUGGAGCAGGGGCGGCGACCGGUGCAGAUGCAGGCGGCGAUGCAGGCUCUGGAGCAGGCGCGGCGACCGGUGCAGAUCAGAUGCAGCAGCGACAGCAGCAGCAGCAGCGCGCAGAACAGCAGAGGCACCGCGGUGUUGGGGGAGACGGGUGGGGCAGCGGCGAGUCGGCGACGGGUGGAUGCAGGCUUGGAGAUUGGGGGCUUCUUGGCUUCAAGCUGUGCGGCGCAGAUUAGGAAUGAGGAAUUAGGAAAUAGGAGGCGCUGAUUAGGGUUUAG